RNAcentral lists this ribosomal RNA (642 nucleotides) under uncultured Actinomycetes bacterium. RNAcentral describes it as "bacterial SSU rRNA". It matches the Rfam family "Bacterial small subunit ribosomal RNA", at positions 231 to 886 of the family's 1533-position model. The record is from RNAcentral. Lineage: Bacteria; Bacillati; Actinomycetota; Actinomycetes.
UCGCGGCCUAUCAGCUUGUUGGUGGGGUAACGGCCCACCAAGGCUACGACGGGUAGCUGGUUUGAGAGAACGAUCAGCCACACUGGAACUGAGACACGGUCCAGACUCCUACGGGAGGCAGCAGUGGGGAAUCUUGCGCAAUGGGCGAAAGCCUGACGCAGCAACGCCGCGUGCGGGAUGACGGCCUUCGUGGUUGUAAACCGCUUUCAGCAGGGACGAAAAUGACGGUACCUGCAGAAGAAGCCCCGGCUAACUACGUGCCAGCAGCCGCGGUAAUACGUAGGGGGCAAGCGUUGUCCGGAUUCAUUGGGCGUAAGGAGCUCGUAGGCGGUUCAGUAAGUUGGGUGUGAAAGCUCCGGGCUCAACCCGGAGAGGCCACCCAAUACUGCUGUGACUAGAGUCCAGUAGAGGAGCGUGGAAUUCCUGGUGUAGCGGUGAAAUGCGCAAAUAUCAGGAGGAACACCAUUAGCGAAGGCGGCGCUCUGGGCUGGAACUGACGCUGAGGAGCGAAAGCGUGGGUAGCAAACGGGAUUAGAUACCCCGGUAGUCCACGCCGUAAACGUUGGGCACUAGGUGUGGGGAGGAGUCAACCCUCUCCGUGCCGUAGCUAACGCAUUAAGUGCCCCGCCUGGGGAGUACGGA